This is a long non-coding RNA of Stegostoma tigrinum, 4843 nucleotides long. RefSeq lists it as uncharacterized. The transcript is spliced from 6 exons. Lineage: Eukaryota; Metazoa; Chordata; Chondrichthyes; Orectolobiformes; Stegostomatidae. The record is from RefSeq and is a predicted model, not a curated record.
UUUAACAUUCUCUUCAGUGCUCAUAUCUAAUUGGAGGCUGUGUAGCUUUUAUAUUGACGAACCAGUAUGGAACUGUUACGCAUUGCUUCCUUUUCCAUUCAGCUGUUAUGUUUAAAUACUUUAUAUCCACCAGUAGCUACAGCUAAAUCACUUCCAGAUAAUUUACACGAGCCCAUCCCAUGUGAUAACCCAGAUGUUCUAGCUGGUGUAGAUUUCUCUCUUCGCAAAUUAAAUGCCAACCUGAAAAGUGGCUAUAAAUUUGCUCUUCACUAUGUCUUCAGGGCUAGAGCAAAGGAAUUACAAGGAAAACUAUAUGCUAUUGAAUAUUUUACCCAGGAACAGAUUGUCCUGUUGGAAAUGAAACAAUCUGGAAAGAAUGCAAUGUCAAACCACAUGCAGCAACUACUAUGGGUCACUGUCAGUUGAAAAUGUUCAUCGAUAACGUCAGAAGAAUUGCUGAAGCGACUGAAUACAAUUGCACAUUAAAUUCAGGUGGUGGCUGGAAUGAAAUAUGAAGUGAAGUUUACAAUUCAGGAAACUGAAUGCAGCAAAGAGAAUUCUGAGAAUAUUGCUGGUAACUGUACUGCAAAGGCUGAUGGUGUAAAACUGUUCUGUGCCUCACGUGUGUUUUCACGGGUUUAGAUCAAUUACACAGAGGUGCAUAUAACCUGUACCCAUGACCCAUUUCAGACACCAAUGUUUGAAACAGCUCAAUAUGUUGGCUGGGGGUCUUUUGAUGUCCAAGAAUUAUUACAGGAACAAGCAGAAUCUGAUGGGCAGAAUACACACUUAGUACAGCUGGGAGAACAUCCAGUAUUUCAUAGAUGCCCCGGAAAAUCAUGGAAGCCCUUGCAAAAGAUUAAACCAACUUCCCCAACCUUCGAAACACCAUGAAAGCAACCAUCUGACCCACACAAGUUAUAUUAAUCUACUGGACUUUGUGAUGAAAAUCCCUUGCUAUUUGCAUUAAAAUAACUAUAAUGAAUUAACCAGCAUAAUUAAAUUUGUAGUUGUAAUUAGGAGCUUAGAUUUCAGUCAGCUCUACACUUCCCCGCAUACUUUUCUUGACCGUGGAGCCUUGCAAGAAACAGAAUUUGCGCUUCUAAUAAGAACAAAGAAAAUUACAGCACAAUAGCAGGCCCUUCAACCCUCCAAGCCUGCGCCAGUCAAGAUCCUUUGUCUAAACCUGUCAUCUGUUUUCUAAGGGUCUGUAUCCCUUUGCUUCCUGCCAAUCCAUGUACCUGUCCAGAUACAUUUUAAAAGACACUAUCAUGUCUGUAUCUACCACCUCCACUGGCAACGCGUCCCAGGCGCCCACCACCCUCUGCGUAAAGAACUUUCCAUGCAUAUCUCCCAUAAACUUUCCUCCUCUCACUUUGAACUCAUGACCCCUAGUAAUUGAGUCCCCCACUCUGGGAAAAAGCUUCUUGCUAUCCACCUUGUCUAUACCCCUCAUGAUUUUGUAGACCUCAAUCACCUCCCCCCUCAAUCUCCGUCUUUCUAAUGAAAAUAAUCCUAAUCUACUCAACCUCUCUUCAUAGCUAGCACCCUUCAUACCAGGCAACAUCCUGGUGAACCUCCUCUGCACCCUCUCCAAAGCAUCCACAUCCUUUUGGUAAUGUGGCAACCAGAACUGCACACAGUACUCCAAAUGUAGCCGAACCAAAGUCCUAUGCAACUGCAACAUGACCUGCCAACUCUUGUACUCAAUACCCUGUCUGAUGAAGGAAAGCAUACCAUAUGCCUUCUUGGCCAGUCUAUUGACCAUCAUUGCCACCUCCAGGAAACAAUGCACCUAAACACGCAGAUCUCUCUGUACAUCAAUUUUCCCCAGGACUUUUCCAUUUACCGUAUAGUUCGCUCUUGAAUGAUAUCUUCCAAAAUGCAUCAUCUCGCAUUUGCCCGAAUUGAAUUCCAUCAGCCAUUUAUCUGCCCAACUUUCCAAUCUAUCUAUAUUCUUCUGUAAUCUCUGAUAGGUCCCUUCACUAUCUGCUACUCCACCAAUCUUCAUGUCAUCUGCAAACUUGCUGAUCAGACCACCUAUGCCUUCCUCCAGAUCAUUUACGUAUAUCACAAACAACAGUGGUCCCAGCACAGAUCCCUGUGGAACUCCGCUGGUCACAGGUCUCCAAUUUGAGAAACCCCCAUCCACUACUACUCUCUGUCUCCUGUUGCCUAGCCAGUUUUUAUCCAUCUAGCUAGCACACCCUGGGCCCCAUGUGACUUCAAUUUAUCCAUCAGCCCUUUUACUCUUUAUAUAUGAAUAAAAGGCUUUGGGAUCUUCCCUAACCAUUUUUGAUAAAGAUAUCUCAUGGCCCCUUUUAGCCCUCUUAAUUCCUCGUUUCAGGUUUGUCCUACAUUCCUGAUAUUCUUCCAAAGCUUCACCUGUCUUCAGUUGCCUAGACCUUAUGUAUGCUUCCUUUUUCCUCUUAGCUAGUCUCAAAAUUUCACCUGUCAUCCAUGAUUCCCUAGUCUUGCCAUUUCUAUCCCUCACUUUCACAGGAACAUGUCUCUCCUGCAUGCUAAUCAACCUCUCUUUGAAAGCCUCCUACGUAUCAAAUGUGGAUUUACCUUCAAACAGCUUCUUCCAAUCUACAUUCCCCAGAUCCUGCCGAAUUUUGGUAUAGUUAGCCUUCCCCCAGUUUAAAACUCUUCCUUUUGGACCACUCUCAUCUUUGUCCACGAGUAUUGUAAAACUUACAGAAUUGUGGUCACUAUUUCCAAAGUAGUCCCCUACUGUAAUUUCAACCACCUGGUCGGGCUCAAUCCCCAACACCAGGUCCAAUAUGGCCCCUGCCCGACUUGAAUGACAUACAUACUGCGCUAGAAAAUCCUUCUGGAUGCUCCAUUCUGCUAUAUCUUGACUCCUACCGUAAGUGAAUCCCAGUCAAUGUUGGGAAAAUUAAAAUCUCCCAUUACCACCAUCCUGUUUCUCCUACACUUUUCCAUAAUCUGUUUACAUAUCUCACGCUCGCUAUUGGAAGGCCUGAGGUACAGCCCCAACAUUGUUACUGCACCCUUCCUAUUUCUGAGUUCUGCCCAUAUUGCCUCACUGCUCGAGUCCUCCAUAGUGCCCCUCUUCAGUACAGCUGUGAUAUCGUUUUUGGCCAGUAAUGCUACUCCUCCUCCCUUUUUACCUUCCUCUCUACCUCACCUGAAGCAUCGAUAUCCUGUGACAUCUAGUUGCCAAUCAUGCCCUUCCCUCAACUAAGUCUCAGUAAUAGCAAUAACAUCAUACUCCCAGGUACCGAUCCAAGCCCUAAAUUCUUCUGCCUUAUCUACUACACUUCUCACACUAAAACACAUACACCUCAGACUAUCUGUCCCUUUGUGUUCAUCAUCUGCUCCCUGCCUACCCUUCCCUUUAGUCACGCUGACUUCAUUAUCUAGUUCCCUACAGGCGUUAGUUACUACCUCCUUUCUAGCCAAUAACCUGCCUAAUAUUUGGUUCCCAUCCCCCUGCCACAUUAGGUUAAACCCUUCCCCACAGCAUUAGCAAAAGCACCCCCAAGGACAUUGGUUCCAGUCUGGCCCUGGUGUCGACCAUCCAAUUUGUAAUAGUCCCACCUUCCCCAGAAUCGGUCCCAAUGUCCCAAAAAUCUGAGCUGCUCCCUCCUGCAUCAUCUCUUAAGCCACGCAUUCAUCCUGGCUAUUCUUUCAUUUCUGCUCUAACUAGCACAUGGCACUGGUAGCAAUCCUGAGAUUACUACCUUUGAGGUCCUACUUUUUGGCUUGGCUCCUAAGUCCCCAAAUUCUGUUUGUAGAACCUCAUCCCAUUUUCUACCUAUAUCAUUGAUGCCUUUCUGCAUCACGACAACUGGUUGUCCACCCUCCCCCUGCAGAAUGUUCUGCUGUCGAUCUGAGACCCGUGCACUUGGGAGGUAACAUACUAUUCGGGAGUCUCGUUUUUGACCACAGAACCGCCUAUCUACCCCCCUUACAAUUGAAUCCCCAAUGACUAUUGCCCUUCCACUCUUUUUCCUGCCCUUCUGUACAGCAGAGCCAGCCACGGUGCCAUGAAACUGGCUACUGCUGCCUUCCCUUGGUGAGCCAUCUCUCCUAACAGUAUCCAAAACGGUACACUGCCCAAAUAAAUGAAGGCCGCUCCCACUUGAGGUAAGCUUUUUAAAGUGGGAAAACAUACCUUCCCAGCAGCCUCCUGGUGCUCACUCUCUAUCUCUCCUCCCAAAAAUGAUUUGCAUAAACCUGAAUGUGGAUUUAUGUGAAAUAAUUUCACACGAAUAAUGGUGGAUUUGUCACCCUUGCAGGAUAAUGGAUUACAAUGAAUUAUUAUACUGUAAUAUGUGUAAAAGUGCGCAAUAAAUGUAACAACGAGUGUAAUUACACAACAUAAUAAAUAGAUUAAUGUGCUACCUUAUAGUCGACUCUCCGUCUUCAGAAAUACUCAUUAGUCACAAGGUCAAAUAAAGGGACUUGAUGAUAAUACAAAUGUGCAGUUUUACCAUUUAUACCUCAUUCAUUUUGGCAGUCAGAGAUUGGACCAAAUUCCAAAUUACGACUAAGGAUAAGAAGCCAAACCGAAUCAGCCGUAAUAAUUAUGGAAUUCACAACAUUGUGAAAUUAAACUAUUCAAUGAUCCUGAAAAUUUCCCAUUUGUUCCUGAUUAGACUUUUACAAAUAACAGAUUUUGAACACCAAGUUUUUACUGUUAACAAAAACUAUGCUGUUAAUAUUUCCAUUUUAGUAGAACAAAGCCAAACAAGGUAAUCUAACUAAUAUGUAUAAUUUAAACCCAAAUCAUCUUUAGUCACAUCCACACUCACUGACAGGCAGACUGACUGUCAGAUUUAAGAGAUAAAUUAGAAAGAUAAUAAAAGAAAUU